Haemorhous mexicanus (house finch) is the source of this 1652-nucleotide long non-coding RNA. RefSeq lists it as uncharacterized. The record is from RefSeq and is a predicted model, not a curated record. NCBI's taxonomy places the organism in Eukaryota, Metazoa, Chordata, Aves, Passeriformes, Fringillidae. The transcript is spliced from 5 exons.
AUGCCACUUGCAAUGCUCUCUUGCCAUCUUCACUCUCAUAGGAAGCCAGAGACUGUUUUAGUUAGGACUCAUGUAUCUUCUCUGUUUUCCCUUCCGACCUUUGUCUGCUUCUCCAUCCCAUCCCCAGCCUUCUCAAGAAUAACCCUCCCAGCUGCCCUUCUGCUGUUCUGAACGGGAGCAAACGCCAUCUCCUUUCUCGAGGCAGCCGUGACACGACGGCCAGAGAAGCCGAAGCUCCCCCGGCCGCUCCCUGCCGCCAGGCUCCGUGCGCGCUCGGUACGCGCUGUGUCUGCGGGGCUGGGCAGGACUGCAAAGCGCAGGGCCUUGGGUCUUGGCCUCCAUCGGAUGAACAAUUUCCCGUUGAAGGUUACUCACUUCCUGUUUUCCGUAUUUAGACAAUCUGGGCCUAUUGGGAGCUUUGAUUUUUUGUAAACUUCAGCUGUUUUAAACGUUAAGUCGCGGGAGACUGAGGCUAAUUUCCAAGGGGAGAUGCCUCACCACAAAAUGUCCCUCUCUGCCCUGUCACAGUUGGUCCUGAUUUGACUGUCUCUGUGGAGAAGCCAAGGAUCAAAUGCUCCGUGGCGCCAGACUGUUUUCUUUUGCAGCCUGCAGGAACUGCUGAAGCCCCCGCUCAGAGAAGCACGCUCCUCCGGGCGCUGGGGGAUGCACCACCCCUCCUGACAGCCUGAUGGAUUAUGGCCCCAGUUCUGUCAGUGGAUCCAACCAAACCAGCAAAGAGGCAGAGAGGCAGCCCCCAGCAGCGAUGCCCACCCCUACACAUGGCAGGGUGACUUUGCAAGACUUGGCUUCACUUUGUAGGGCCCCAAGGGGUUCCUUGUGUGGGUCAAACUCGACUGUGUGAUGGAAGCAGCUGCAAAGUUUUGGUGUCAUGGAAGAUCUGUUUGUGAUCUCAGCCUAAUUUCUGCCCUUCCUCCCGGUGGACUCCACCGGGGUGGGUGCCUGAGACAGCAGGCGCUGGCUGCAUGUGGAUGUGGUGGCCACACUGCCCAAAGUUUACCCAAGCAGCUAAUCUGCAUUUUUAAGCGACAGCUGCCAACAUGACAGAACAAAAUGCUUCAACCUCCAAAGUCUGCGAGCAGGAUGGUUUUUGUGCCCCAUUAUGGUUUUGGCUGUGCUAGAACUUCACCAGGCAUUUACCAAAAUCGUGUUGCAGCUAUCACCCCUUGCUAGUGCAGGAUUGCCUUCCCCGGAGUUUUCUCCCAACAGUCUGUCUGACCUAGGUUGUCUGAUUUGAGGAACAAUAGGGUAGUUGGGAGAGGAGCUCUUUUUUUAAAUUAAUCUUUCAUGUUAGGGAGAAGAAUGAAGGAAUUGUGUCAAAAUAAUCACCAUCUUGGGUAUAUUAAAAUCCCGUCUUACAGCUACAUUUUUGCUUUGUUCCUCGCCCUUGCAAUCUUUUCCCCCUUCCUGGUAACUUUGGUAUGGAAGAUAGAUGGAGCUAAUCCAAGAGGGCUGUUGAGUACAUUUCCCCUCUCCUUGUUUUGAAGGCAGCUUUUCUUACAGGGUAGCCAUAGCAAAUGACAGCACAAAAACAUGCAAUCAGAGGGGUUGAGGCUUUUUGUGGAAAACAAAAUAAAUAUGACUUUGUGUCUGAUUUUAAAAUUUAUGAUUUAAUAAAGAUGCCUUUUUCUUUC